UCUCGGCUCACUGCAACCUCCGCCUCCCGGGUUCAAGCGAUUCUUCUGCCUCAGCCUCCAGAGUAGCUGGGAUUACAGGCACCUACAACAGAAGACAAUCCAUAAAUGACCAUGUGAUGGGUGCUCCAUCAAUGAUGAAAGGAAUGAAUGAGUACCUUUUAUGGCAUGGUGGGAGGUGGAGGUGGCGGGAGCACUUGAAGGUGGAGGAGAUUGGUACAUGCCUGCCCCUUGUGACUGAAUCUGGAACAGGUGCACGUUUCUGCCUGCUUCGUGAAGCAAACUGCCAAAGUCGAACCAAGGCCAGUCACACUGCAGGGCCCUCAUCUCUUUUCUUGAGAGAGUCCAAAGACUGUGGGACUGGGCCUGCUGGUCUGCUGGUGUUCUCCCAUCUCUGCCUCUGAGCACCCUGCUGGAAAGGCUACCCUGAGAUGUUGGUGGACUGGAUCUCUGAUCUAGAAAAAACUGCUCAGAGGCAAAAGCUACAAGAGGCACGUUCUGGCAUGAAUGAUACUGGCUCUUCCGGCCCCCAGAUUGCAGAUCCACAGAGAAGACUAUGGGUAAAAGAUGACCCCAGGUAUAGAACUUCAUCUUAGGAAGAGAUCACCCAACCAGAGACUUCUUACACAUCAUUUAGUUGAUUUUAGUUAACGAGAGCAUGGAAGAUGUUGGAAUAAUUGCUAACAAUCCUGGCCAGGGAAAUUAGGAAGCCCAUCCUCUAAUUAAAAUUUAAUGUAGAGGAACUGACCAUCAUGAAUGAAUGGACUCAAUUCCUUGAGAAGAAGACAGAUAAUUUCAAACUAUUUCCUAGAACAAGUAAAGGCACACAGUUGUACAGAGUGAGGAGGUUUCCCUAGGCAAGAUUGGUGGCAGCCUCAAGAUGUAUGGGGCCGGAGGCUGUUAUAUUCUCACUGGGUGAGAGAAAUGGAUAGGGAAUGAUAAUGAUGAAUGAGUUUUCUUUCAAAGUACUCACUAAGGGAGGCUCUCCAUUUUCUUUUUCCUCACUAAAGUGCCUCAAAAUGCUUAAAGAAUUCCACUUUGGAAUUACUUCCAAACUAGUUUAUAUUUUCUAUCCCGUGACUCUACAAUUGCACCUCAUUUUUAACCAAAAAAUCAUUUCCUGCUUCAUCAACCACCUUAUUCAUCAGAUGUGGCCCUGGAUGAUUUUUGGUUCUUUCCAAAAAUGAAAUUCAACCUCAAAGCUUAAAGAUUUAUGCUAUCACAUCUCCUGAAGAAAUGUGCCAUCAACUCUGAAGAUGAAGAGGAGUUCCAGAUAUAUUUUGGUAUUGAAAAAAAUUUACGUCUCAUUAUUUUGCCAUCUCAUACAUUUUCAUAUCUUCUUGUCUUAUAUUGCUUUGAAGAUGAAACUCAGAUCUGUAUAAAGUAUUUCAAGCAUAUUAACCAAAGAGUUGUGCUUAAUCCAGCCAUCUGUAACUAAAUUUCUGUCUCUAUAGUAUCUUGGAAAAAAGAAAGAAAGUGAAAAGGCAGGUUGAGAAAAAAUAGAAGUGCAUAUAAUUAAAUCAUGAAAGAGUGAUGGAUA
This 1537-nucleotide long non-coding RNA is filed under the name Pan troglodytes (chimpanzee). Its description in RNAcentral is "lincRNA". Lineage: Eukaryota; Metazoa; Chordata; Mammalia; Primates; Hominidae. The record is from RNAcentral.